UACGUAGGGGGCGAGCGUUGUCCGGAGUUACUGGGCGUAAAGCGCACGCAGGCGGUCCGUUAAGUUUGGAGUGACAGUUGGUGGCUCAACCACCAAAGUGCUUUGAAAACUGGCAGACUUGAGGGCUUCAGAGGGACACGGAAUUCCGGGUGGAGUGGUGAAAUGCGUAGAGAUCCGGAGGAACACCGAAGGCGAAGGCAGUGUCCUGGGGAGUACCUGACGCUCAGGUGCGAAAGCCAGGGGAUCGAACGGG
This 253-nucleotide ribosomal RNA is filed under the name uncultured bacterium. Its description in RNAcentral is "partial 16S ribosomal RNA". It matches the Rfam family "Bacterial small subunit ribosomal RNA", at positions 524 to 776 of the family's 1533-position model. The record is from RNAcentral.